Long non-coding RNA from Lontra canadensis (Northern American river otter), 575 nucleotides. RefSeq lists it as uncharacterized. NCBI's taxonomy places the organism in Eukaryota, Metazoa, Chordata, Mammalia, Carnivora, Mustelidae. The record is from RefSeq and is a predicted model, not a curated record. The transcript has 3 exons.
AGAAUGCCAAGGAUUGCCAGCAAUCACCAGAAGCUACAAGAGAAGCAUGGAACAGAUUCUCCCACAGAGAAUUCAGAUACUUGCCAAGACUUUUGGACUUGAUUUUGGACUUUUGGCUUUCAGAGCUAUGAAAGAAUAAAUUUGUUUCAAACCACCCAGCUCGUGAUAAUUUGUUAUGGCAGCCCAAGAAAAUUAAUGUAUCCAGCAUAUCCCAUUUUGAUAACAAAUGGCUUGUCUAAAGAUAAGCUCCAACUGCCACCCCUUAUCCAAUCUUAUCCAAUCUCUUCCAUCCUUGAGCAAGGGUUUCAGGAGAAAAAAGAAAAUUAUUAAAUGAGACAUCAUCAUUACUAUGAUUCUUACUGUCACAGCAUGAGUAAAGAAAGUAUUUCCAGCAAGGAUAAGAUCUGAUUGAGCAACACAUUUUGUCAGCUACACCUGUGCUGAAUUUGUUCACGUCUAACGUAUCCACUGGUGGCAUUGUGUUGAGAAUGAUUAUCAUCUCUCACUCGCUCAGAUGAUUUCAGUAGUCUACCAACAUAUCUCUCUUUCCCUCUUCUCAACACCUGGAGGAAUCC